This 63-nucleotide transfer RNA is filed under the name Lama guanicoe (guanaco). Its description in RNAcentral is "partial tRNA-Phe". Lineage: Eukaryota; Metazoa; Chordata; Mammalia; Artiodactyla; Camelidae. The record is from RNAcentral.
AUGUAGCUUAACUUAAAAGCAAGGCGCUGAAAAUGCCUAGAUGGGCUCAUGGCCCCAUAAACA